AAGUCGUAACAAGGUUUCCGUAGGUGAACCUGCGGAAGGAUCAUUAAAAAAUCUUUCGAGCCGCAAGGCUCUAUUAUCUUGUGAAGUGUUUGCUGUACACACACGCACUGUGUGUGGUGAGAUGAAUGAUGAUGCGGUGGUGAAUGAAAGUUCUCCUCUCUUCUUUCGUUCAUUCUUGCCACGGACACAAGUGUUGCUGCUGUGUACGCUUUUAAAAUGUAUGGUUUUGAUGUUACUGUUUGUAUGUUACAUUUUACUAUGUAAUACUCAAUACAAUACAACUUUCAACAGUGGAUCUCUCGGCUCUU
RNAcentral lists this unclassified non-coding RNA (308 nucleotides) under fungal sp. RNAcentral's name for it is "partial internal transcribed spacer region". The stretch from base 1 to 46 matches the Rfam family "Eukaryotic small subunit ribosomal RNA", at positions 1786 to 1831 of the family's 1831-position model. The record is from RNAcentral. Lineage: Eukaryota; Fungi.